RNAcentral lists this ribosomal RNA (590 nucleotides) under uncultured bacterium. RNAcentral's name for it is "bacterial SSU rRNA". It matches the Rfam family "Bacterial small subunit ribosomal RNA", at positions 335 to 916 of the family's 1533-position model. The record is from RNAcentral.
ACUCCUACGGGAGGCAGCAGUGAGGAAUUUUGCGCAAUGGCCGCAAGGCUGACGCAGCAACGCCGCGUGGGUGACGAAGGCCUUCGGGUCGUAAAGCCCUGUCAGGUGGGAAGAAAGGCCUUGAUAAGAAACGGUUGAGGUUUGACGGUACCACCAGAGGAAGCACCGGCUAACUCCGUGCCAGCAGCCGCGGUAAUACGGAGGGUGCGAGCGUUAUUCGGAAUUACUGGGCGUAAAGCGCGUGUAGGCGGGGAUGCAAGUCUGAUGUGAAAGCCCUGGGCUUAACCUGGGAAGUGCAUUGGAAACUGCAUUUCUUGAGUACUGGAGAGGAAGGGGGAAUUCCCGGUGUAGAGGUGAAAUUCGUAGAGAUCGGGAGGAAUACCAGUGGCGUAGGCGCCCUUCUGGACGGUAACUGACGCUGAGACGCGAAAGCGUGGGGAGCAAACAGGAUUAGAUACCCUGGUAGUCCACGCUGUAAACGAUGAUCACUAGGUGUAGCGGGUACUCAUUCCUGCUGUGCCGUAGCUAACGCGUUAAGUGAUCCGCCUGGGGAUUACGGUCGCAAGACUAAAACUCAAAUGAAUUGACGG